RNAcentral lists this ribosomal RNA (524 nucleotides) under uncultured bacterium. RNAcentral describes it as "partial 16S ribosomal RNA". It matches the Rfam family "Bacterial small subunit ribosomal RNA", at positions 28 to 523 of the family's 1533-position model. The record is from RNAcentral.
GACGAACGCUGGCGGCGUGCCUAAUACAUGCAAGUCGUACGCUUCUUUUUCCACCGGAGCUUGCUCCACCGGAAAAAGAGGAGUGGCGAACGGGCGAGUAACAGGUGGGUAACCUGCCCAUCAGAAGGGGAUAACACUUGGAAACAGGUGCUAAUACCGUAUAACAAUCGAAACCGCAUGGUUUUGAUUUGAAAGGCGCUUUCGGGUGUCGUUGAUGGAUGGACGCGCGGUGCAUUAGCUAGUUGGUGAGGUAACGGCUCACCAAGGCCACGAUGCAUAGCCGACCUGAGAGGGUGAUCGGCCACAUUGGGACUGAGACACGGCCCAAACUCCUACGGGAGGCAGCAGUAGGGAAUCUUCGGCAAUGGACGAAAGUCUGACCGAGCAACGCCGCGUGAGUGAAGAAGGUUUUCGGAUCGUAAAACUCUGUUGUUAGAGAAGAACAAAGAUGAGAGUAACUGUUCAUCCCUUGACGGUAUCUAACCAGAAAGCCACGGCUAACUACGUGCCAGCCGCCGCCGUAA